Molecule: ribosomal RNA, 439 nt
Filed under: uncultured bacterium
Lineage: Bacteria
Description: partial 16S ribosomal RNA
Rfam family: Bacterial small subunit ribosomal RNA
Source: RNAcentral
CUACGGGGCGCAGCAGUGAGGAAUAUUGCACAAUGGAGGAAACUCUGAUGCAGCAACGCCGCGUGGAGGAUGACGCAUUUCGGUGUGUAAACUCCUUUUAUAUGUCAAGAAAAUGACGGUAGCAUAUGAAUAAGCUCCGGCUAACUCCGUGCCAGCAGCCGCGGUAAUACGGAGGGAGCAAGCGUUACUCGGAAUCACUGGGCGUAAAGGACGCGUAGGCGGGAUAGAAAGUCAGGUGUGAAAUCCUAUGGCUCAACCAUAGAACUGCACUUGAAACUUCUAACCUAGAGUAUGGGAGGGGAAGAUGGAAUUAGUGGUGUAGGGGUAAAAUCCGUAGAUAUCACUAGGAAUACCAAAAGCGAAGGCGAUCUUCUGGAACAAUACUGACGCUAAGGCGUGAAAGCGUGGGGAGCAAACAGGAUUAGAUACCCGAGUAGUC